GAUGAACGCUGGCGGCGUGCCUAACACAUGCAAGUCGAACGGAGUUUUAAGACGGAAGUUUUCGGAUGGAAGAUUUAAAGCUUAGUGGCGGACGGGUGAGUAACGCGUGGGUAACCUGCCUCAUACAGGGGAAUAACAGUUAGAAAUGACUGCUAAAACCGCAUAACAUGGCGAUACCGCAUGAUAUUGCCAUCAAAUAUUUAUAGGUAUGAGAUGGGCCCGCGUCUGAUUAGCCAGUUGGCAGGGUAAUGGCCUACCAAAGCGACGAUCAGUAGCCGGCUUGAGAGAGUGACCGGCCACAUUGGGACUGAGACACGGCCCAA
This 323-nucleotide ribosomal RNA is filed under the name uncultured bacterium. RNAcentral describes it as "bacterial SSU rRNA". It matches the Rfam family "Bacterial small subunit ribosomal RNA", at positions 28 to 334 of the family's 1533-position model. The record is from RNAcentral.